AAUUCCCUACUGGAAGGUGCAUUACCACCUUUGCACCCUGCCACUAUCUCCUAUGGUUAACCAUGUGUCAUCCUAUGUAUUAAUUUCCAGGUCCUGCAAAAUGUGCAUUCAUAUUUCUUAUUUUGUAACUGUUAAAGUGUAAUAUGCCUGG
This is a long non-coding RNA of Bufo bufo (common toad), 151 nucleotides long. RefSeq lists it as uncharacterized. The record is from RefSeq and is a predicted model, not a curated record. Lineage: Eukaryota; Metazoa; Chordata; Amphibia; Anura; Bufonidae. The transcript has 3 exons.